GUGUUUGCUUCUGCAACACAUAUACUAAAAUUGGAACAAUACAGAGAUUAGCAUGGCCCCUGUGCAAGGACCACACUCAACAAAAAGAAAGGAAGAAUGAAAGA
Small nuclear RNA from Suncus etruscus (white-toothed pygmy shrew), 104 nucleotides. NCBI's taxonomy places the organism in Eukaryota, Metazoa, Chordata, Mammalia, Eulipotyphla, Soricidae. The record is from RefSeq and is a predicted model, not a curated record.